AGAACGAACGCUGGCGGCAUGCCUAAUACAUGCAAGUCGAACGAACUCUUCGGAGUUAGUGGCGCACGGGUGCGUAACGCGUGGGAAUCUGCCCCUUGGUUCGGAAUAACAGUUGGAAACGACUGCUAAUACCGGAUGAUGACGAAAGUCCAAAGAUUUAUCGCCAAGGGAUGAGCCCGCGUAGGAUUAGCUAGUUGGUGAGGUAAAGGCUCACCAAGGCAACGAUCCUUAGCUGGUCUGAGAGGAUGAUCAGCCACACUGGGACUGAGACACGGCCCAGACUCCUACGGGAGGCAGCAGUAGGGAAUAUUGGACAAUGGGCGAAAGCCUGAUCCAGCCAUGCCGCGUGUGUGAAGAAGGUCUUCGGAUUGUAAAAGCUAACGUUUAAGUUGGGGGAAGGUAAGGGUU
RNAcentral lists this ribosomal RNA (408 nucleotides) under uncultured soil bacterium. Its description in RNAcentral is "bacterial SSU rRNA". It matches the Rfam family "Bacterial small subunit ribosomal RNA", at positions 26 to 457 of the family's 1533-position model. The record is from RNAcentral.